Molecule: long non-coding RNA, 432 nt
Filed under: Anas platyrhynchos platyrhynchos (common mallard)
Lineage: Eukaryota; Metazoa; Chordata; Aves; Anseriformes; Anatidae
Description: lncRNA (ENSAPLG00000022986.1)
Source: RNAcentral
ACUCAUGCUUCAGAGCAUAAACCAGAAGAGAGUCAGGUCAGGAAUAUUUUUCUCCAGGCAAACUAUUUUAUAAUAGCUCACUUCAAGGCUUUGUGUUCUUUCUAGGAAACACCCAGCAGUGGCCGUUUUCAGAGAGAAGAUACAAUUCUGACCUGCUGCUGUUAUACCUUCGGCAUUUUGUGAUAUGGUGGGUAAAGAUUAUUCCCAGACUGAAGCCUUCAUCACAAGCCAACUUUUAACUGUGAGAGAAAUGUCUGAACUGGAAGAAACAGAGAUGUGGAAGAUGGCAAUUGUGAUCAGAAAUAUUUCCAUUCACAGCUGGGGAGCCAGAAUUUUAUUUUGUUUUUCUAAGAUGUUGAAUAUCAGAAGUAGAAUUUAAUAAUGGAAUAUAAAAAAUGCAAUAAAAUGGUAUACUCCAAAAAUAUACUUUCA